Long non-coding RNA from Cynoglossus semilaevis (tongue sole), 2199 nucleotides. RefSeq lists it as uncharacterized. Lineage: Eukaryota; Metazoa; Chordata; Actinopteri; Pleuronectiformes; Cynoglossidae. The transcript is spliced from 2 exons. The record is from RefSeq and is a predicted model, not a curated record.
CUUUGGGUUGACGACCAGGAGGAGGAGCAUCCUAAUCCUAACAACCAGGCUUUCCAUCAUGGACGACACGUUUGCCGUUGGUUUUUUUUUGGUAUUGCAGUAGAAUCAGGUGUGUGUGUAGUCGUUGUUAGUUCUUCGUCUUCUCUUUGGUUUAAUUCAGUCCCAACGUCACGGUCUCAUGAUGGAAGUUUUAUGGAGAGUUUGGCCACACCCACAUGUGGGGAAGAGUGACAGGUCAGGCCUGGUGUCAAAGGUCACAAGGUCAACAGUACAGAGAACUCCACCAAUCACACUGGCCUAGGUCUGCUCUGUCCACGGAGUGAGAAAACAGCGCCCUCUCUGUUUGACCGUGUCUAGUUUGAGUGCUUUAUUUUGAUGUUGAAGUCACCGACUUCACCUGGUGUCUGAACCCUGUAGAACCCUUGGGGGGAGGGCGGGGGGUGACGACGACAACGACAAAGAACUCAUUUCUCAGGAACUUCACUGCGUUCUUCAAGCGUCACUCACGGCACUUCCUGUCAGAGCGGCGUUUGUUGCGUUGAUCAGAGGCGGCUGUGUGACAGGGAGAGUGUGGCGCAGGAACAUUUCACGGGGAUCUGGGUCUGGACACUGAGCUGAAGGAGGACUUCCUGUUCCACAUGUGGACUGUGAUGGCAGAACGCCAGCAGCUGUGUGUGUGUGUGUGUGUGUGUUUUGUUCCUGGUGGCAUUUUAAGUAUUUUACGCAUUUUCUAAAACAAAAAUUUCAGCUUCGUUCACGUCGUUGAAAGGAGGGUUGAAUGAAAACAAACGACGACGACGACGAGUGUGGUGACGGUUGAUGGAAACAGAUCUGAGAACUGCUUUUAGAAACACAGCCUUUGUUGUUUCCUGUUCCUUUUUGUAUUGAACGACAGCCUGAGUUGUGAGUUCUAUUUCAGUUUCAGUUGGUGCUCGGCACAGUCUGUGUUCACAUCCCUUCUUCUGUAUCGUAUCGCCCUAAUUUUCACAGUUUUUUUGAUAAACACUCCGUACUAAGACCUGGAAGUGUUGAGGUGUUGAACAAAGCCACAGUGACUUCUGUAAUUAGAACAUCCUGUCUCUUCUUUGAUGACUUUGAUGGUGGUGUUUUUGGAGAGGACUCGUCGCUGCCUCAGGAAUCUGAGAGCUAAUGUCAUGCUGCUGGAAAUUGAGUUUGGUCUGAUGCCACUGAGGGGAGACUUCCCUGCAGCUGCUGCAGGAGGAACUCAUUUAUAUUCCCAUGAUUGGAUUCAGGAGCACGAGCACCUCCACCUCCACCUCCACCUCCACCUCCAGCUCCACCCUCUGGUGCUGUGCAGCCACUGCCACCCUGAGCUUCUUCCUUCAGUCUUGAUCCGUCUGUGUAAAUGUGUGUCAUGUGGUUAAAAGACCAUGUGCUCAGAUCCCUCCUACUUUCCAGACGGCCUCCUCCUCCUCCUCCUCCUGCUCCUCCUUCUUUCAUGCGACCUUUCUGACCCCUUUAGCACUGAUUGGUGUAACGUGGCUCCUGGCUUGGCUGCACGAUCUUCCACUGGUCCGUCGGUCGUACUCUGUAGAUCAGCUGCACUUCGUCGGCAAUUUUUACAGAAACGACCAGCAUAUUGCUAAAGAAAAAAAAAAGAUUCUUCUUUCACUGACCCUAGCUGCAGAAGUGUUCCACUUCCUGUUUGGAUAAUGUUUAAGAUUUUUCUUUCCUCUUACUUUCACCCAGCAGCAGCAGGGUGGCACAGCUCGGUCUCUGCAUCGAGACUUGGCUGCUGCCUGACCCUCAAAUGUCCCAGCAGCCCCAGCUCAUCUGCACUGAAGUGUAAUUUGCCGCAGCACUAAACCAGUGUAAUAUAAGGCCAGCCUGCUGUCAGGUGAACCAGUUGUCCACCGGGGGGCCACGUCAUAUGAUGAAUGUCAGUCUCUACUGUUGUAGAGGUUAAUCUUCCUCCACGGAGCCAGAAUCAAAGUGAACUCCAAGGACAUGGAGUCCAGCCUGAAGGCCGCAGACCGCAGUCGGCCGAGGAACGGGGGAACGACGCGCUCUCCCAGAGAACCUGAAGUUCACUGAAGGUCAGGCUGCGCUCACACUGCAGUUUAUCUGUGAUCAAAUCAUAAAGAGUCAGAACCAGGUGACGUACGGACGAUCCACGGGCGCCGUGAACGGACACGAGCGCCGAUUCGUUUUAGCCGUUGUCAAGAUUUAAUGUUGACG